CAUUGACCGAUGGGCAGGGUUAACUUGACUUUUUCUCCUGCCUUGGGGGGGGCGAUGUGGAUUCUUUUAAGAAUGUGGAUAUUUAGGUCAUCUUUGGCGCCCCCUAGAACCUAAACCGUGGGGAGCAGCGUCAUGAUUUCUACAACUUUGAAUGGCCAUGGGAUGUAGAUCGGCUUGAGCAAAUUUGGUGUUGGUGGGACGAAAGCCUUAGGAGGAGUUAGCCACAUUCCAAUGUGUGCGAAUCGGCAAAAAAUGCGAAAUAGCCCUUUAACCGUACAUUUUACAGAUACGUGCCCAUUGACUUUUUCGUAGAUCUUAUUGAGAUACACGUGUGUGUCAAAUUUUGUGUCAUUUUGACAAAGCGUAUAGGCGUGACAGUCAACAAUGUGUUUUUUCACCUUAGGGGACAAGAAAAAAUGGACUCUUUUCUCCUGCCAUGGGGGGGCGCUCUUUUUCAGGAGUAAAAAUUCCUUUACAGAUGUGUUGAUGGCUGGACAUUGCAUCAUCCUAGAAAACUUGGAGGCCAGUGAGGACAAAAAUAAAAAGUUAUAACACUUUUAAGAAUAUGGAUAUUUGGGUCAUCUUUGGCGCCCCCUAGAACCUAAACCGUGGGGUGCAGCGUCAUGAUUUUUACAACUUUGAAUGGCCAUGGGGUGUAGAUUAGCCUGAGCAAAUUUGGUGUCAGUGGGACGAAAGCUGUAGGACGAGUUAGCCACAUUCCAAUGUGUGCGAAUCAGCAAAAAAUGCAAAAUAGCCCUUUAACCGUACAUUUUACAGAUACGUGCCCAUUGACUUUUUCGUAGAUCUUAUUGAGAUACAUGUGUGUGUCAAUUUUUGUGUCAAUAUGACAAAGCGUACAGGCGUGACAGUCAACAAUGUGUAUUUUCACCUUAGGGGACAAGAAAAAAUGGACUUUUUUCUCCUGCCAUGUGGGGGCGCUCUUUUGGGGAGUAAAAAUUCCUUCACAAAUGUGUUGAUGGCUGGACAUUGCAUCAUCCUAGAGAACUUGGAGGCCAGUGAGGAAAAAAAUAAAAAGUUAUAAGACUUUUAAGAAUGUGGAUUUUUUGGUUAUCUUUGGCGCCCCCUAGAACCUAAACCGUGGGGUGCAGCGUCAUGAUUUGUACAACUUUCGAUGGCCAUGGGGUGUAGAUUGGCCUGAGCAAAUGUGGUGCCGGUGGAACGAAAGCCUUCGGAGGAGUUAGCGAAAUUUCAAUGUGUGCGGAUCGGUAAAAAAUGCGAAAUAACCCUUUAACCGUACAUUUGACAGAUACGCCCGCACUGACUUUUUUGUAGAUCUUAUUGAGAUACAUGUGUGUGUCAAUUUUUGUGUCAAUAUGGCAAAGCGUACAGGCGUGACAGUCAACAGUGUGUAUAUUCGCCUUAGGGGACAAGAAAAAAUGGACUUUUUUCUCCUGCCAUGGGGGGGCGCUCUUUUGGCGAGUAAAAAUUCCUUCACAAAUGUGUUAAUUGCUGGACAUUGCAUCAUCCUAGAGAACUUGGAGGCCAGUGAGGACAAAAAUAAAAAGUUAUAAGACUUUUAAGACUGUGGAUUUUUGGGUUAUCUUUGGCGCCCCCUAGAACGUAAACCGUGGGGUGCAGCGUCAUGAUUUGUACAACUUUUAAUGGCCAUGGGGUGUAGAUUGGCCUGAGCAAAUGUGGUGCCGGUGGAACGAAAGCCUUCGGAGGAGUUAGCGAAAUUCCAAUGUGUGCGGAUCGGCAAAAAAUGCGAAAUAACCCUUUAACCGUACAUUUGACAGACACGCCCGUGCUGACUUUUUUGUAGAUCUUAUUGAGAUACAUGUGUGUGUCAAUUUUUGUGUCAAUAUGACAAAGCGUACAGGCGUGACAGUCAAUAGUGUGAAUUUUCACCUUAGGGGGCGCUAUGGAGCCAUUUUGCAUUUUAUUGUUUGGGUGACUUCAGAAUAUCGAAUUUUUCACCAGGCCCGGUCGUCCUGCCAAAUUUCAUGAGUUUUCGCCAGUGGGAAGUGGGCCAUUUUCCAGUUUAAAGCGGAGGAAAAAUAAUAACUAGGGCCCCGUUGGGGCACUGGCGGGCCCGAGCUGUGUCGCGCCCCCCCCCCAACGCGCUGCCUCCCCGUCCCAUUCGCGUCCUCUGGCCAUCGUCCUCUCUGGUAACGCCCAUCACUGCAAAGACCCUUUUCCUUCAUCGGGGUUUGCUGUUCUUCCUGCCAGUGCGUGUUGCUUUCACUUACACUUGCCACAGCCAGCCUCGUGAGUGCCUAGCCUAUUGGAUAUCACUGUCACCUACACAGGACAGUCAUUACCUUUCUAUUAAUACUUUGUUUUUUAAUUUCACAUUAAUUUCCAUAUUGUAUAAACGACUGGAAAAAACUUGAGCCCCUGCCCCUGUAUAAUCAUGUGCACGUCCCUGUUCUCGCUCCAAGGUGAAUCUUCACUGCUCAUGUUCUCCUCAGAAGCAGUCACCUCACUCCCCUCAGGUUACUGUACACAUGCACCAACUGCCUGCUUCAGGUUUGGAUGGAGCUUCAUGGUUGUCAUUUGGAGAAAUGAACAGUCAAGUUGUGUUUGAAAUUUGAUUUUUUUCAGGGGCAAAAGGAAGCCUCUGCAUUCUUGUCAAAUAUGUAAACAGCAUGUUUUUGCAGGUGCUAAAAAACAGACUCUGAGUGUGUGUGUGUGUGUGUGUGUGUGUGUGUGUGUGUGUGUGUGUGUGUGUGUAUAUGUGUGUGUAUCCUGCAGUACUCUGUACUCCUGCAGUGACCAAAAAGACUUUUAAGAAUGUGGAUUUUUGGGUCAUCUUUGGCGCCCCCUAGAACGUAAACCGUGGGGUGCAGCGGCAUGAUUUUUACAACUUUGAAUGGGCAUGGGGUGUAGAUUGGCCUGAGCAAAUUUGGUAUCGGUGGGACGAAAGCCUUAGAAGGAGAUAGCCACAUUCCAAUGUGUGCGAAUCGGCAAAAAAUGCAAAAUAGCCCUUUAACCGUACAUUUGACAGAUACGUGCCUAUUGACUUUUUUGUAGAUCUUAUUGAGAUACACGUGAUUGUCAAAUUGUGUGUCAAUAUGACAAAGUGUAUAGGCGUGACACUCAACAAUGUGUAUUUUUACCUUAGGAGACAAGAAAAAAUGGACUUUUUUCUCCUGCCAUGGGGGGGCGCUCUUUUGGGGAGUAAAAAUUCCUUCACAAA
Non-coding RNA from Xyrichtys novacula (pearly razorfish), 3160 nucleotides. Lineage: Eukaryota; Metazoa; Chordata; Actinopteri; Labriformes; Labridae. The record is from the annotation of a GenBank genome assembly.